Molecule: small RNA, 637 nt
Filed under: pig gut metagenome
Source: RNAcentral
CAUGAAACGGUGGCGCAGUAUUCUAGUCAGAGCGUGCGUCUUCUAAGACGGGCCUAAAAAUCCGUAGGAGGGCAUAUCGAUGAAGUCCUUGGUGCUUGCUUCUUACGCCCAGUUUGGGGUGAGUGCUGGGGGUUAAGGUUAUAGGGCAUCUUUCAAUGGCAUGAAAUCAUGACCCUGUUUCCGUGGAGACCUGCUGCUGUGGGGUGCUGAGCUCUUUUAUUAAGACAACUGACAUCUUACGGAGCAGGAUUAGAACCUGCAAUGCGGUGCGGAAGCAUCUUCGGAUGAAUAAGCGCUGUGUGCAGAGUAGCCUGCCUUGAGUGAAUAUGGUGGAUCAGGCAUCAGCAGGGCACAUAUAAGGCGCCAAGUGUGUCCCUGAAUCGGUCUUUGAAACCAUAUUUGCAAAAGAGGCUAAGAGGCGCGUGCACUGUCGUGGAAAACACCUAGACUGUCUGAAACGGGCAGCCGGAGGAUUGCAGUGCGGACUAAGUGGCAAUUCGGUAUCGGAAGUGGCAACACUCCGACUUGGUCUUUAAAGGGAAACCGCUGUCACGGCGACGGACAGCAGACCUUGGGGAAAUCCGACCGAACCUCAAGCCGCAAGAUUUACUCGGGCUGCUGCCAUCGUUUUAUUAUU